AAGUCGUAACAAGGUUUCCGUAGGUGAACCUGCGGAAGGAUCAUUAACUCAAUAUAUGUAUAGUCACUUCGGUGGCUGUGCAUCAUAUUACCAAAACCAAAUCAACAAUCCGUGAAACUAUAACAAAACCAAAAUGAAUGGGUUCGCGUGUCAUUACUUUGUUUGAAUGCACGUACUCAGCCAAUACCAAUUCCACGUAAUUUUUAACCAUAUUAACCCAUUACUGUAACGAUCUUUUCACUUGUGUCAAGAGCGUACUAAAACAAAAGCGUGUCAUUACUUAAUUGAAUGCAUGCACCAAUUUUAUUCUAAAACAGAGAAAUACAACUCUUAACAAUGGAUAUCUUGGCUCUC
Molecule: unclassified non-coding RNA, 354 nt
Filed under: fungal sp.
Lineage: Eukaryota; Fungi
Description: partial internal transcribed spacer region
Rfam family: Eukaryotic small subunit ribosomal RNA (bases 1-46)
Source: RNAcentral